CCUACGGGUGGCAGCAGUCGAGAAUCAUUCACAAUGGGGGAAACCCUGAUGGUGCGACGCCGCGUGGGGGAAUGAAGGUCUUCGGAUUGUAAACCCCUGUCAUGUGGGAGCAAAUUAAAAAGAUAGUACCACAAGAGGAAGAGACGGCUAACUCUGUGCCAGCAGCCGCGGUAAUACAGAGGUCUCAAGCGUUGUUCGGAAUCACUGGGCGUAAGGCGUGCGUAGGCUGUUUCGUAAGUCGUGUGUGAAAGGCGCGGGCUCAACCCGCGGACGGCACAUGAUACUGCGAGACUAGAGUAAUGGAGGGGGAACCGGAAUUCUCGGUGUAGCAGUGAAAUGCGUAGAUAUCGAGAGAAACACUCGUGGCGAAGGCGGGUUCCUGGACAUUAACUGACGCUGAGGCACGAAGGCCAGGGGAGCGAAAGGGAUUAGAUACCCGGGUAGUC
This 446-nucleotide ribosomal RNA is filed under the name uncultured bacterium. RNAcentral's name for it is "partial 16S ribosomal RNA". It matches the Rfam family "Bacterial small subunit ribosomal RNA", at positions 338 to 795 of the family's 1533-position model. The record is from RNAcentral.